GAUGAACGCUAGCGAUAGGCUUAACACAUGCAAGUCGCGGGGCAGCACAAGGUAGCUUGCUAUCUGGGUGGCGACCGGCGCACGGGUGCGUAACGCGUAUGCAACUUGCCCUAUACAGGAGGAUAACCCGUCGAAAGACGGACUAAUACUGCGUAUGCUCACAACUUGGCAUCAAGUGGUGAGGAAAGAAAUUCGGUAUAGGAUAGGCAUGCGUCCCAUUAGCUUGUUGGUGAGGUAACGGCUCACCAAGGCAACGAUGGGUAGGGGAACUGAGAGGUUUAUCCCCCACACUGGUACUGAGACACGGACCAGACUCCUACGGGAGGCAGCAGUGAGGAAUAUUGGUCAAUGGGCGCGAGCCUGAACCAGCCAAGUCGCGUGAAGGAUGACUGUCUUAUGGAUUGUAAACUUCUUUUAUACGGGAAUAACAAGAGUCACGUGUGACUCCCUGCAUGUACCGUAUGAAUAAGCAUCGGCUAACUCCGUG
This 487-nucleotide ribosomal RNA is filed under the name uncultured bacterium. RNAcentral's name for it is "partial 16S ribosomal RNA". It matches the Rfam family "Bacterial small subunit ribosomal RNA", at positions 28 to 507 of the family's 1533-position model. The record is from RNAcentral.